GUAUGUGUGGCGCAACGGUAGCGCGUCUGACUCCAGAUCAGAAGGCUGCGUGUUCAUAUCACGUCAGGGUCA
Transfer RNA from Gasterosteus aculeatus (three-spined stickleback), 72 nucleotides. It matches the Rfam family "tRNA". Rfam says of the family: Transfer RNA (tRNA) molecules are approximately 80 nucleotides in length. Their secondary structure includes four short double-helical elements and three loops (D, anti-codon, and T loops). The record is from Rfam. NCBI's taxonomy places the organism in Eukaryota, Metazoa, Chordata, Actinopteri, Perciformes, Gasterosteidae.